UUUCCCCUGCCUGGUUCGUUAUCAUCAGCAUUUUUCGAGCCAACUCUUUACAUCUAGGGCGACUCCGCUGAUACUCUAGAGAAUGUUCGCCUUGCUUGCGAAAUCACUCGAAGGUAUUAUGAGACUCACCCACCUAACUAUGUUAGGUUCGAUGUAGCUUUUGAGACGGCCAAGGCGGGGGAUUU
This 185-nucleotide non-coding RNA is filed under the name Desulfobulbaceae bacterium. RNAcentral describes it as "6S RNA". It matches the Rfam family "6S / SsrS RNA". Rfam says of the family: E. coli 6S RNA was the first non coding RNA to be sequenced, but its function was unknown until recently. It consists of 184 nucleotides that fold into an extended hairpin structure with a large single-stranded internal bulge. The record is from RNAcentral. Lineage: Bacteria; Pseudomonadati; Thermodesulfobacteriota; Desulfobulbia; Desulfobulbales; Desulfobulbaceae.